This 468-nucleotide ribosomal RNA is filed under the name uncultured bacterium. RNAcentral describes it as "partial 16S ribosomal RNA". It matches the Rfam family "Bacterial small subunit ribosomal RNA", at positions 28 to 507 of the family's 1533-position model. The record is from RNAcentral.
GACGAACGCUGGCGGCGUGCUUAACACAUGCAAGUCGAACGGAAAGACCCUGCUUUUGUGGGGUGCUCGAGUGGCGAACGGGUGAGUAACACGUGAGUAACCUGUCCCUGACUUUGGGAGAACUCCAGGAAACUGGGGCUAAUAUCGGAUAGGAGCUCCUGCUGCAUGGUGGGGGUUGGAAAGUUUCGGCGGUUGGGGAUGGACUCGCGGCUUAUCAGCUUGUUGGUGGGGUAGUGGCUGACCAAGGCUUUGACGGGUAGCCGGCCUGAGAGGGUGAACGGCGACAUUGGGACUGAGAUACGGCCCAGACUCCUACGGGAGGCAGCAGUGGAGAAUAUUGCACAGUGGGCGGGAGCCUGAUGCAGCAGCGCCGCGUGCGGGAUGACGGCCUUCGGGUUGUAAACCGCUUUCGCCUGUGACGAAGAGUGAGUGACGGUACUGGGUAAAGAAGCACCGGCUAACUACGUG